Molecule: ribosomal RNA, 400 nt
Filed under: uncultured bacterium
Lineage: Bacteria
Description: bacterial SSU rRNA
Rfam family: Bacterial small subunit ribosomal RNA
Source: RNAcentral
GACGAACGCUGGCGGCGUGCUUAACACAUGCAAGUCGAACGAUGAAGCUGGAGCUUGCUCCGGUGGAUUAGUGGCGAACGGGUGAGUAACACGUGAGUAACCUGCCCUUGACUCUGGGAUAACUGCGGGAAACUGUAGCUAAUACCGGAUAUGACCUCGGAAGGCAUCUUCUGAGGUGGAAAGUUUUUCGGUCAAGGAUGGACUCGCGGCCUAUCAGCUUGUUGGUGAGGUAAUGGCUCACCAAGGCAACGACGGGUAGCCGGCCUGAGAGGGUGACCGGCCACACUGGGACUGAGACACGGCCCAGACUCCUACGGGAGGCAGCAGUGGGGAAUAUUGCACAAUGGGCGAAAGCCUGAUGCAGCAACGCCGCGUGAGGGACGAAGGCCUCGGUUGUAAC